Molecule: signal recognition particle RNA, 268 nt
Filed under: Fidelibacterota bacterium
Lineage: Bacteria; Pseudomonadati; Fidelibacterota
Description: signal recognition particle sRNA large type
Rfam family: Bacterial large signal recognition particle RNA
About the family: The signal recognition particle (SRP) is a universally conserved ribonucleoprotein involved in the co-translational targeting of proteins to membranes. Archaeal SRP consists of a 7S RNA and homologues of the eukaryotic SRP19 and SRP54 proteins.
Source: RNAcentral
CUAUGCUACACGGGGAGCUAGCGGUGCCCUGUACCUGCAACCCGCUAUAGCAGGGUGGAUGGCCGGACUGAGGGCUUUUGUCCGGAUUAUCUCCUGGUGAUUUUCGGGCGAUGACGUUCUCAGACCUGUACAAUAGAGAGUUGAUGAACCCCGUCAGGCCCGGGAGGGAGCAGCGGUAGUCAAUUUCUCUAUGUGUUGCAGGUAUCUGGGAACCAGCCGCAGGAUCACCUGGGGGUAAUUCUGGAAGGCUCGAGGUCUGGCUGCAUAG